UACGAAGGGGGCUAGCGUUGUUCGGAAUUACUGGGCGUAAAGCGCGCGCAGGCGGCUCUUCAAGUCAGGGGUGAAAGCCCAGAGCUCAACUCUGGAACUGCCUUUGAGACUGAAGAGCUUGAGUACGGGAGAGGUGAGUGGAAUUCCCAGUGUAGAGGUGAAAUUCGUAGAUAUUCGGAAGAACACCAGUGGCGAAGGCGACUUACUGGACACAUAUUGACGCUGAGGUGCGAAAGCGUGGGGAGCAAACAGG
RNAcentral lists this ribosomal RNA (253 nucleotides) under uncultured bacterium. RNAcentral's name for it is "partial 16S ribosomal RNA". It matches the Rfam family "Bacterial small subunit ribosomal RNA", at positions 524 to 776 of the family's 1533-position model. The record is from RNAcentral.